Molecule: ribosomal RNA, 245 nt
Filed under: uncultured bacterium
Lineage: Bacteria
Description: partial 16S ribosomal RNA
Rfam family: Bacterial small subunit ribosomal RNA
Source: RNAcentral
UACGUAGGGUGCAAGCGUUGUCCGGAAUUACUGGGUGUAAAGGGUCCGCAGGCGGGCAAGCAAGUCGGUGGUGAAAUCCCUCCGCUCAACGGAGGAACUGCCUCCGAUACUGCUUGUCUUGAGUUCGAGAGAGGAUGAUGGAAUUCAUGGUGUAGCGGUGAAAUGCGUAGAGAUCAUGAAGAACACCGGUAGCGAAGGCGAUCAUCUGGCUCGAUACUGACGCUCAGGGACGAAAGCGUGGGGAG